UACGUAGGUGACCAGCGUUGUUCGGAUUUACUGGGCGUAAAGGGCGCGUAGGCGGCGUGGCAAGUCACUUGUGAAAUCUCCGGGCUUAACUCGGAACGGUCAAGUGAUACUGCUGUGCUAGAGUGCGGAAGGGGCAACUGGAAUUCUUGGUGUAGCGGUGAAAUGCGUAGAUAUCAAGAGGAACACCUGCGGCGAAGGCGGGUUGCUGGGCCGACACUGACGCUGAGGCGCGAAAGCUAGGGGAGCGAACGGG
RNAcentral lists this ribosomal RNA (253 nucleotides) under uncultured bacterium. RNAcentral's name for it is "partial 16S ribosomal RNA". It matches the Rfam family "Bacterial small subunit ribosomal RNA", at positions 524 to 776 of the family's 1533-position model. The record is from RNAcentral.